This 2341-nucleotide long non-coding RNA is filed under the name Chloebia gouldiae (Gouldian finch). RNAcentral describes it as "Erythrura gouldiae (Gouldian finch) lncRNA (ENSEGOG00005002404.1)". Lineage: Eukaryota; Metazoa; Chordata; Aves; Passeriformes; Passeridae. The record is from RNAcentral.
UUUUUUUUUUUAGUUAGAAUGAUGGAGACGGUGUUGGGUUUUUUUCCCCCUCGGGAAGUCACAGCGCAAAAAAAGGACAUCAUUUCACCCAAACUCUGAAGCAUGAAGCAAAGAGCACAUCUUCCUUACACUAAGCAGCGGCAAUUUGAAUUACAGAAUCGCAGAGUCGGAAAGCCCCCGCUUGCCGGCGAGGAGGCGACGACGAGAAAGCGCAGGGGACGUCCACGGGGACGAUGGCGAAGAGACGAGCCAGCUCAGCGCGCCCACGCUUCCCGGCACCGCGGGACGGACUUUCCCCGCGCCGGGCAGCGACGCGAACCGCGCACCUUCCCACGGGCCGGGAGGGGCGGGGCGCCGCCAUGCAAAUCAGGCAUCGCAGCCAAUAGACGGGCGAGCCGGCCGGAGGGGCGGGGCGCUCCAAGGGGAUGAGCGCUCGCCUCGACGGCGCGGGCGCUGCGGCGGCAUCUCGGGGAGCGGCACCGGCACGUCGGGCACCGGCACGUCGGGCACCGGCACGUCGGGGAGCGGCACCGGCACCUCGGGCACCGGCACGUCGGGGAGCGGUACCGGCACCUCGGGCACCGGCACCGGCACGUCGGGGAGCGGCACCGGCACGUCGCGGAGCGGUAUCGGCACCUCGGGCACCUCGGGCACCGACACGUCGGGGAGCGGCACCGGCACCUCCGGGAGCGGCACGGGCGGAGAGACGCGGGACCGGCCGGACUGCCCUGCCCGGGGCUCUUACAGAGAAGAAGAGAGAAAAAAAACAUGAGUAAUUUGAAAAAUUCAAGCCUGCUGGGCCACCUAUAAUGGGCAUGGUUGGCAAGACAGGGAAUUUGGACUGAAAAGAUGACUAGUACUCUGCUAUAAGCCUAUUACAGUCCUGGAAAGAUGAAAACCUACCCUUAAAAAAGCCCAAGUCUUUUCCCCACUUAAUAUUAUCAAAUCUAUUAUUAGGCAACAGAUACCAAACAAAAAUAUUAAUUCUGGUCUAAGAUGAUUGUUUACAAAACAGAUAGUUACUAGAAAAUUAUUAAAUCUGAGACUCCAACUCUUAAACAAAAGGCUUCAGCUAAAUUUAACACUUUUUAAACCUAUGUAUGACUUGUAUUUUAGUGCAAAAGCAACACUCUAUUUGCCUUGGAAUGCAGUGUGUUCAAUUCAGCAAGUCCAUCUGAGUAGAUUUCCAUCAAUACUACAUCCUCUACAAGCCAUAUGGGAAGUCACUGAAAUGUGCUGACACAUGAAGUAAUUUUGUCUAAGAGCAGGUUAUUUCCUAAUUGGUCACCACUUGUUUUUUGGGUCAUGUCUAUUGUGUGUCAUGUGGUAAAAAUCACAUUCCAUUCAGAGCCAGGAUGAACCACGUGGGUUCCUUUUAGCUUCCAAGGGCGAGAACUACUGACAGAAAUUAUUUUUAACUGACUUGUUUUGAAAUAUUGUUGUUCCUCAAACACUUGAAGUAAAAACUUCAUCUUGUAAAGCCCUACUUAAGGCUGAAAAGAUUACUGACUAGACUCUUGGUGAGCCACAAGAUGGUAUUAACUAACAGCUGCCAUUUAUGAAUGCUGCAAGAAGAAAAAAUGUACACUGCCUUCCUUCCCAGCAGCUGGCCAUGAAAUAUGAAUGUUGUGCUGAGACUGCUUCAUCAUUUCACCCUUUGUUCUCAGACUCUGAUCACAGAAUAUCCUGCCUGAGCUGGAAGGAACACACAAGGAUCAUUGAGCCCAACUCCUAAGUGAAUGGCCCAUAUGGGGAUAGAGUGUGGAUAUACAAAUGUUAAAGCUGAGGUAAAAGUUAUAGAAAUAACUUUUUAUCCUUAGGUUAUUUCUACAUAGUUAACAGGCUUCAGAACAUUUGAAUAGCAAUGUUAGGCAAUGUUUGUAGGACUCCCUUUUGUAUGUAUAUGGGGCUAACAGAAAGGGGAUGUAUGCACAUACAUAGUUUUUGAUUUCUAGAUGGCUUUUCUUUCUUGUCUGAAAUCCCAUAUUGUGGCAAGCACAUUUCUCUCACUCUCAGGAUUUUUCCUAGAGGUGCACAGAGAGAAAUGGAAGAGAAAACAAUUUCUAUUUCUGCUCCUUGUUUUUCCUAUGUGGAAUGUGUUUGGAGAAUUGUUUACCUGGAGUGAGUGCUUGAUUGGAUUCUGGUGAGGAUUGUUUGAGCCUGAUGGCCAAUCCAAUCCACCUGUGUCUGGACUCUCGCGAGCAGGGUCACGAGUUAGUUAGAUUAGAGAUAGAGUAGGAGAAAGUAGUAUGUAGUUUUAGUAUCCUCCUUUCAUAUAGUAUAUUAAUGUAUUUUAUCAUAAUUAUAAUAAAGAAACAAUUCAGCCUUCUGAACUGAGUCA